Molecule: ribosomal RNA, 145 nt
Filed under: Ricinus communis (castor bean)
Lineage: Eukaryota; Viridiplantae; Streptophyta; Magnoliopsida; Malpighiales; Euphorbiaceae
Source: RNAcentral
GGGUGCGAUCAUACCAGCACUAAUGCACCGUAUCCCAUCAGAACUCUAAAGUUAAACCUGCUUGGGCGAGAGUAGUACUAAGAGUGCUUGGGCGGGAGUAGUACUAAGAUGGGUGACUUCUUGGGAAGUCCUCGUGUUGCACCCC